RNAcentral lists this ribosomal RNA (630 nucleotides) under Anaplasma capra. Its description in RNAcentral is "bacterial SSU rRNA". It matches the Rfam family "Bacterial small subunit ribosomal RNA", at positions 765 to 1395 of the family's 1533-position model. The record is from RNAcentral. Lineage: Bacteria; Pseudomonadati; Pseudomonadota; Alphaproteobacteria; Rickettsiales; Anaplasmataceae.
GGAGCAAACAGGAUUAGAUACCCUGGUAGUCCACGCUGUAAACGAUGAGUGCUGAAUGUGGGGGCUUUUGCCUCUGUGUUGUAGCUAACGCGUUAAGCACUCCGCCUGGGGACUACGGUCGCAAGACUAAAACUCAAAGGAAUUGACGGGGACCCGCACAAGCGGUGGAGCAUGUGGUUUAAUUCGAUGCAACGCGAAAAACCUUACCACUUCUUGACAUGGAGGCUAGAUCUUUCUUAACAGAAAGGCGCAGUUCGGCUGGACCUCACACAGGUGCUGCAUGGCUGUCGUCAGCUCGUGUCGUGAGAUGUUGGGUUAAGUCCCGCAACGAGCGCAACCCUCAUCCUUAGUUACCAGCGGGUAAUGCCGGGCACUUUAAGGAAACUGCCGGUGAUAAACCGGAGGAAGGUGGGGAUGAUGUCAAGUCAGCACGGCCCUUAUGGGGUGGGCUACACACGUGCUACAAUGAAGACUACAAUAGGUUGCAACGUCGCAAGGCUGAGCUAAUCCGUAAAAGUCGUCUCAGUUCGGAUUGUCCUCUGCAACUCGAGGGCAUGAAGUCGGAAUCGCUAGUAAUCGUGGAUCAGCAUGCCACGGUGAAUACGUUCUCGGGUCUUGUACACACUGCCC